Molecule: long non-coding RNA, 2718 nt
Organism: Gossypium arboreum
Lineage: Eukaryota; Viridiplantae; Streptophyta; Magnoliopsida; Malvales; Malvaceae
Exons: 2
Source: RefSeq, a predicted model, not a curated record
GUACAAAAAUAAUAGGGGCUGAAUUAUUUUUUUGAAAAAAUUUAAGGGAUUCUCACCCUUUUUAUGUCCAAAAUCCUCAAUUGCCAAAGUCUCAAAUAACUAUUGCGGUACUACCUAAUAUGAAAACUUUAACAUAAAAUUUUCAAUAAUUGUCCCAUCCCAUGGCCUGCGGUGGAGAUUGGGGAAAGGCGAUGACUUUGGGUUCUAUUUUAUGGAAAUUAGGUUUAUUAUAGAAUAAUCAAACCCGGUAGUUUGAAAGAGGAUGAAGAGAGAAACAUUUUGACAGUGAGAUUGAUUUGAGAUAAUGUCAGACAGCGGCAAUAAAGGAGUAUGACAAUGUUUGGUAUUUUUUUAAAGAGAAAAAAAUUAAGUUUUAUGUUUAAGAAUAAAUCCCUAAAGAAAAAAAGGAAAGAGAGGAAAAAAAAGUAAAAAAUAAUUUUAAAUUUUAAUGAUAUUAUUAUAUUUGUUAUAUAAUUAUAAUUAAAAUGAUUCGACUCGAAUCUGACCCGGGUGUGAUCCUAUAUAAUAAAAUUUUACAGUCAUCUUAAGGGGAUGGAUCUUCUUCUUCUUAACUGUUAGACUCAAGUUCUCUCUCCUGACACAUCCGUUGAUCUAAAGUAUCGACAAUGAUUUGGUGAGCGUGGAUGGAACUCGCCAAAGAUUUUGCCAUUCUCUAUGAUGCUGAGGUUCAUGUCAUCAUUUUCUUCAAUACUGGCAAACUCUUUGGCUUCUCCAAUUUUGGUCCAAAAGGAGCAGUACUCAAUAGUGAUGGGGGAUGUUGAGAGGAAGUGAGCGGCACCAACAGAAGACACAUGCACCAAUUUCAGUUUCACGGUUUUAUGAUUUUAUAUUUCUAAUCCCUUUGAAGCUCUCACAUCCCUAAUAUAUUUAUUUCCUUUUUGGUCACUCUAUCGGUGGAGCUGUGGUUUUGAAGGCAACUUCACAUCCUUGUAUUGAAGGAAUGCUGGAGGGAGUUGGGCUGACCUCUCCAGCUUUGCGUGUUAAACCAACCCAAACAAUUGUUGGGUGAUGAAUUGCUACUAUUUCUACUGUGCUCAUGAAUUGUUCGAUGAUAUGCCAAGGAAGGAUGCUUAAGGGCGAGCCUCUAGUAUUUUCCUUGAAAAUAUUGAGAAGCUAUAAAAAAAUACAUCUAGAAUCAAGCCUGGUCUUACCCGGUUGCGUAGAAGUGCCCCCAAACCUUUUUCCUGCCAUUAAACUGAGCUUUAUGAUUCGAAAGUAGGGAGUGAUAUUUUGGAUAUGAUUCUUACAAAGGUAUGCCAAUGCUUCAUUCUCAUUUAUUUUUAAAAAUAAUCUAGACGUAUUUAGGUGUUUAUUUCUAGUUGUCUUAACAUAGCAUAGCAUCUCCAUUUGGUUUCCUUCCAAGGUGUCAGUAUUUAUUGUGCAGAAUAUAACUAGCAUUGCUGAUAAAAAAUAAUUACAUGUGCUAUCAUUAAAUGGUUUCCUUAGUUUAUGUAUUUAAUAGGGCAUAUUUUAAUGUAUGACGUGCAUAUCAUUUGCCUAUUUUUGUUAUGUAGUUGAACCAUCAAUCAUUUCAAUCAUGUCAUCUUUGUUAUGCCCACAUUAAGCAAGAUGACACAUUUAUACAGUGCUUGAAAUAAUUGGGAGGCAGAUUUGUUAUGCCCACCUAUUCUAUGUUUACAGCUCAUAAGCUCAACUCUUACUGUAAUCUAAAUCUCAUUUAUGGAGAUUGUAUGAGACUUGAGGAAUCAAUGUAGUAACGAAUGAAGGUCUCUGGUUGCAUUAAGAAAUUGAAAGAAAAAAGGCGCUACCUUAGAGGCUCAACCUCACUGAGCUCUAUCAACAAGCCAGUCUUUGUAAAGAAAUAAACUCUUAGUCCAUUAUAUUAAACAGUGUAGGACUUUAUCUGAAUCACUGAAUUUUUCUUCUUCUUUAUUUGUAUUUUGAUUGAAUGCAGGUAUUAACUCCACCCAAGCAUUGAGUUGCUGAUAGUACUAGAAAGAACAUAUGUUUUCUUCCUACUUAUUGGUUAAUUUGUUCCCUUUUAAUUAUCUUUAGCACAUAUUUUAGUAUUUUUAGUUCAGUAAUUUACAUUUUAUGACUUAGUGGAUCUUGGCUUAUUUACCUUUAAUUUUAUCAUAUUUUGGUACUAAUGUCGCUGCAUGAGCAAAUUUAGAUUGCGCCCAGAACUAUCGCCGCACUUGAUAGCUGUCCGGAUAGGAAUGAAAAUACAUGAGCUGUCUAGUUUGGUACAACUAACUUGUACGUGCAAAGGUAGCAUGGUUUUGAUGAAAAGGACACCUGGGCUAUUUGGGAAAAAUAUAUAAAUAUUCACAUGAAAAGAAAAAAAGAGAGUUUUUUUUGGAUCAUCUUUUUCAACUUAUCCCUUGAAGCUUUCGGCUAUGGCGGAUUAAGCUUCGACGGGUGAACCAACGUGAAAACGAUAUAGACCAGCUCUUGACGAGAAGCCCUGAGUGCGACACAAGGAGGAAUAGACAGAUUCAAGUCGAGUUGUCUAGGAAUAGUAAUCUCCACUUAUUUCUUUUAUUUUUCUUUUCUAAACGCUGGUGAUUACUUCCUAUUUCAUGUUAGUACAGAAAUACACACGAUUUAUGAGUUAAAUGUUAUUUUAUUCAAUCUUACUUCUACUGUUUAAUAUUUGGGUUUGAAUGUUUUUAGAAUGGAAAUUUUUUCGCGGUCACUGACAUUGGAAGGUGCAGUGACAGUUCAAGCUAACAA